Molecule: small nuclear RNA, 107 nt
Filed under: Canis lupus familiaris (dog)
Lineage: Eukaryota; Metazoa; Chordata; Mammalia; Carnivora; Canidae
Also listed under: 1 other name
Source: RNAcentral
GUGCUCACUUGGGUAGCACAUAUACUAAAAUUGGAACAGCACAAAGAAGAUUAGUGUGGCUCCUGUGCAAGGAUGACACGCAAAUUCAUGAAGCGUUUCAUAUUUUU